GAGGGCCUACGGGGCGCAGCAGUGGGGGAUAUUGCACAAUGGGGGAAACCCUGAUGCAGCGACGCCGCGUGGGUGAAGAAGCGCCUCGGCGCGUAAAGCCCUGUCAGCAGGGAAGAAAAUGACGGCACCUGACUAAGAAGCCCCGGCUAACUACGUGCCAGCAGCCGCGGUAAUACGUAGGGGGCAAGCGUUAUCCGGAUUUACUGGGUGUAAAGGGAGCGUAGACGGCAUGGCAAGUCUGAUGUGAAAACCCGGGGCUCAACCCCGGGACUGCAUUGGAAACUGUCAGGCUAGAGUGUCGGAGG
Molecule: ribosomal RNA, 305 nt
Filed under: uncultured bacterium
Lineage: Bacteria
Description: bacterial SSU rRNA
Rfam family: Bacterial small subunit ribosomal RNA
Source: RNAcentral